Molecule: ribosomal RNA, 274 nt
Filed under: uncultured bacterium
Lineage: Bacteria
Description: partial 16S ribosomal RNA
Rfam family: Bacterial small subunit ribosomal RNA
Source: RNAcentral
AUACGAAAGGUGCAAGCGUUGUUCGGAUUUACUGGGCGUAAAGAGAUCGUAGGUGGUUUAUUAAGUCGGAUGUGAAAUCCCGGGGCUCAACCUCGGAACUGCAUUCGAUACUGGUAGACUAGAGUUUGGGAGGGGUAAGCGGAAUUCCGUGUGUAGCAGUAAAAUGCGUAGAUAUACGGAGGAACACCUGAGGCGAAGGCGGCUUACUGGACCAAUACUGACACUGAGGAUCGAAAGCGUGGGUAGCAAACAGGAUUAGAAACCCUGGUAGUCC